CCUGUCUCCCUACCAUCUCUCCCCUGUCUCCCUUCCAUCUCUCCCCUGUCUCCCUUCCAUCUCUACCCUGUCUCAUUACCAUCUCUCCCCUGUCUUCCUUCCAUCUCUACCCUGUCUCAUUACCAUCUCUCCCCUGACCAAGAAGGGCCUUCGUCAGGGAGGUGACCAAGAACCCGAUGGUCACUCUGACAGAGCUCCAGAGUUCCUCUGUGGAGAUGGGAGCACUUUCCAGAAGGACCUUUAUGAUACUUGGCGCUGUACAAACGACUGAUCCUCAAGAUCAUGAGGCUCGGACCAGGUGGCGCUGUGAUGCUGCUGGUGUAUCAAUACGUAUCUGGAUGGUUAAAUAAGAACUGGUGACGAGGAGAAGCCCACCAACCUGCCUUAAGGUGCCCACCAGUCUGCCUGAUGAAGCCCACCAGUCUGCCUUAAGGUGCUCACCAGUCUGCCUGAUGAAGCCCACCAACCUGCCUUAAGGUGCCCACCAGUCUGCCUGGUGAAGCCCACCAGUCUGCCUUACGGUGCCCACCAGUCUGCCUUAAGGUGCCCACCAGUCUGCCUUAAGGUGCCCACCAGUCUGCCUGAUGAAGCCCAUCAACCUGCCUGAAGGUGCCCACCAGUCUGCCUGAUGAAGCCCACCAGUCUGCCUGAUGAAGCCCACCAACCUGCCUUAAGGUGCCCACCAGUCUGCCUUAUGAAGCCCACCAACCUGCCUUAAGGUGCCCACCAGUCUGCCUGAUGAAGUCCACCAACCUGCCUUAAGGUGCCCACCAGUCUGCCUGAUGAAGUCCACCAACCUGCCUUAAGGUGCCCACCAGUCUGCCUGAUGAAGCCCACCAGUCUGCCUGAUGAAGCCCACCAACCUGCCUUAAGGUGCCCACCAGUCUGCCUGAUGAAGCCCACCAGUCUGCCUGACGAAGCCCACCAGGCUGUCUGAUGAAGCCCACCAGCCUGUCUGAUGAAGCCCACCAACCUGCCUUAAGGUGCCCACCAGUCUGCCUUAAGGUGCCCACCAGUCUGCCUGAUGAAGCCCACCAACCUGCCUUAAGGUGCCCACCAGUCUGCCUGAUGAAGUCCACCAACCUGCCUUAAGGUGCCCACCAGUCUGCCUGAUGAAGUCCACCAACCUGCCUUAAGGUGCCCACCAGUCUGCCUGAUGAAGCCCACCAACCUGCCUUAAGGUGCCCACCAGUCUGCCUGAUGAAGCCCACCAGUCUGCCUGAUGAAGCCCACCAACCUGCCUUAAGGUGCCCACCAGUCUGCCUGAUGAAGCCCACCAACCUGCCUUAAGGUGCCCACCAGUCUGCCUGAUGAAGCCCACCAACCUGCCUUAAGGUGCCCACCAGUCUGCCUGAUGAAGUCCACCAACCUGCCUUAAGGUGCCCACCAGUCUGCCUGAUGAAGCCCACCAGCCUGCCUGAUGAAGCCCACCAGCCUAUCUGAUGAAGCCCACCAGCCUAUCUGAUGAAGCCCACCAGCCUGUCUGAUGAAGCCCACCAGGCUGUCUGAUGAAGCCCACCAGCCUGUCUGAUGAAGCCCACCAGGCAGGCCAUUAGGAUGCCCACCAGGCAGGCCAUUAGGAUGCCCACCAGUCAGGCCAUUAGGAUGCUUACCAGGCAG
This is a long non-coding RNA of Oncorhynchus tshawytscha (Chinook salmon), 1620 nucleotides long. The record is from Ensembl. NCBI's taxonomy places the organism in Eukaryota, Metazoa, Chordata, Actinopteri, Salmoniformes, Salmonidae.